GACGAACGCUGGCGGCGUGCCUAAUACAUGCAAGUCGAGCGGACUGAAUGGGAGCUUGCUCUUGUUCGGUCAGCGGCGGACGGGUGAGUAACACGUGGGCAACCUGCCCGCAAGACCGGGAUAACUCCGGGAAACCGGAGCUAAUACCGGAUAACACCGAAGACCGCAUGGUCUUUGGUUGAAAGGCGGCGCAAGCUGCCACUUGCGGAUGGGCCCGCGGCGCAUUAGUUAGUUGGUGAGGUAACGGCUCACCAAGGCGACGAUGCGUAGCCGGCCUGAGAGGGUGACCGGCCACCCUGGGACUGAGACACGGCCCAGACUCCUACGGGAGGCAGCAGUAGGGAAUCUUCCGCAAUAGGCGAAAGCCUGACGGAGCGACGCCGCGUGAGCGAAGAAGGCCUUCGGGUCGUAAAGCUCUGUUGUGAGGGACGAAGGAGCGCCGUUUGAAGAAGGCGGCGCGGUGACGGUACCUCACGAGGAAGCCCCGGCUAACUACGUG
This 499-nucleotide ribosomal RNA is filed under the name uncultured bacterium. RNAcentral describes it as "partial 16S ribosomal RNA". It matches the Rfam family "Bacterial small subunit ribosomal RNA", at positions 28 to 507 of the family's 1533-position model. The record is from RNAcentral.